AAAUUGAAGAGUUUGAUCAUGGCUCAGAUUGAACGCUGGCGGCAGGCCUAACACAUGCAAGUCGAACGGUAACAGGAAGCAGCUUGCUGCUUCGCUGACGAGUGGCGGACGGGUGAGUAAUGUCUGGGAAACUGCCUGAUGGAGGGGGAUAACUACUGGAAACGGUAGCUAAUACCGCAUAAUGUCGCAAGACCAAAGAGGGGGACCUUCGGGCCUCUUGCCAUCGGAUGUGCCCAGAUGGGAUUAGCUUGUUGGUGGGGUAACGGCUCACCAAGGCGACGAUCCCUAGCUGGUCUGAGAGGAUGACCAGCCACACUGGAACUGAGACACGGUCCAGACUCCUACGGGAGGCAGCAGUGGGGAAUAUUGCACAAUGGGCGCAAGCCUGAUGCAGCCAUGCCGCGUGUAUGAAGAAGGCCUUCGGGUUGUAAAGUACUUUCAGCGGGGAGGAAGGGAGUAAAGUUAAUACCUUUGCUCAUUGACGUUA
RNAcentral lists this ribosomal RNA (487 nucleotides) under Escherichia coli. RNAcentral describes it as "bacterial SSU rRNA". It matches the Rfam family "Bacterial small subunit ribosomal RNA", at positions 1 to 477 of the family's 1533-position model. RNAcentral also lists the same sequence under 2 other names. Lineage: Bacteria; Pseudomonadati; Pseudomonadota; Gammaproteobacteria; Enterobacterales; Enterobacteriaceae. The record is from RNAcentral.